Molecule: ribosomal RNA, 270 nt
Filed under: Triticum aestivum (bread wheat)
Lineage: Eukaryota; Viridiplantae; Streptophyta; Magnoliopsida; Poales; Poaceae
Description: partial small subunit ribosomal RNA
Source: RNAcentral
UUGAUCCAAGGGGGGCAGACGACAGUUAAUAUUAACAGAGAGGUGGGGUUGUACUUUAGGAAUAAGCGUGGCGUCCAACAAGGGGACCCAAUAUCCCCGCUUCUGUUCAAGAUGUUGGCCGACGCACUUGCGACAAUUCUCGAUCAUGCCAAGGAGGCAGGCCAUAUCUCGAGGGUGGCUUCGAGCAUUAUCCCCGAUAACACACCUUCAGUACGUGAAUGGCACGCUUAUCUUCAUAAAAAACUCAGAGUUGGAGAUUAUGAACCUUAA